RNAcentral lists this ribosomal RNA (577 nucleotides) under Inocybe sp. LM2764. RNAcentral describes it as "eukaryotic LSU rRNA". The stretch from base 220 to 373 matches the Rfam family "5.8S ribosomal RNA". Lineage: Eukaryota; Fungi; Basidiomycota; Agaricomycetes; Agaricales; Inocybaceae. The record is from RNAcentral.
CAUUAUUGAAAUAGCACGACGGGAAGCUGUUGCUGGCCCUAGUGGCCGUGCACGCUUUCUGUCCUUCAUUUCUCCAUCUAUUUGUGCACCUCUUGCGUAGACCCCUCUGUUAGGACUGCUUUGCAAAAUUGAUUGUGGGCUUUCCUUGUUUCUACGUCGUCAUAUACACCAGUGUAAUGAUUUGGAAUGAAUGGAAUUUUGAUGCAAUAUAUAAAGCACAACUUUCAGCAACGGAUCUCUUGGCUCUCGCAUCGAUGAAGAACGCAGCGAAAUGCGAUAAGUAAUGUGAAUUGCAGAAUUCAGUGAAUCAUCGAAUCUUUGAACGCAUCUUGCGCUCCUUGGUAUUCCUAGGAGCAUGCCUGUUUGAGUGUCAUAAAUAUCUCAACCGCACCCUAUGGUGGUGUGGCUUGGAUUUGGGGGUGGCAGGCUUAGUCUGCUCCCCUGAAAUACAUUGGCGGUGCCCGACGUGAUGUGAUAAAUUAUCCGCAUCUGUUUAUGAGCUGCCGUGUUGUGUUGGAGUUGAUAAACUUGACCUCAAAUCAGGUAGGACCACCCGCUGAACUUAAGCAUAUCAAUA